This 397-nucleotide ribosomal RNA is filed under the name uncultured bacterium. RNAcentral's name for it is "partial 16S ribosomal RNA". It matches the Rfam family "Bacterial small subunit ribosomal RNA", at positions 523 to 918 of the family's 1533-position model. The record is from RNAcentral.
AUACGUAGGGGGCGAGCGUUGUCCGGAAUGAUUGGGCGUAAAGGGCGCGUAGGCGGCUUUGCAAGUCAGUAGUGGAAGUCCAUUUUUCAAGGAUGGAAGUGCUACAGAAACUGCGGAGCUUGAGUGCAGGAGAGGUUAUCGGAAUUCCCGGUGUAGCGGUGAAAUGCGUAGAGAUCGGGAGGAACACCAGUGGCGAAGGCGGGUAACUGGACUGCAACUGACGCUGAGGCGCGAAAGUGUGGGGAGCAAACAGGAUUAGAUACCCUGGUAGUCCACACUGUAAACGAUGAAUGCUAGGUGUAGGAGGUAUCGACCCCUUCUGUGCCGCAGUAAACACAGUAAGCAUUCCGCCUGGGGAGUACGGUCGCAAGAUUAAAACUCAAAUGAAUCGACGGGG